AUAUUGUGGUUCAUAUCAGCUUAAUAUAUGUGUUCUUAUCAGCUUAAUAUCUGAUACCGGUUGCCCCAUUUGGACCCAACAUAUUAAACUUAUUUCCGCAACUUGGCCGAGUGAUUGAAACUUGCUUCACCUCCGCCGCGGGUCGGCCCGGUAUUUCACAAUCUUCGGGAUCGGCCCACGUUUU
Molecule: small nuclear RNA, 184 nt
Organism: Dermacentor silvarum
Lineage: Eukaryota; Metazoa; Arthropoda; Arachnida; Ixodida; Ixodidae
Product: U2 spliceosomal RNA
Exons: 1
Source: RefSeq, a predicted model, not a curated record